CAGGCCUAACACAUGCAAGUCGGACGGUAGCACAGAGAGCUUGCUCUUGGGUGACGAGUGGCGGACGGGUGAGUAAUGUCUGGGGAUCUGCCCGAUAGAGGGGGAUAACCACUGGAAACGGUGGCUAAUACCGCAUAACGUCGCAAGA
RNAcentral lists this ribosomal RNA (148 nucleotides) under uncultured bacterium. RNAcentral describes it as "partial 16S ribosomal RNA". It matches the Rfam family "Bacterial small subunit ribosomal RNA", at positions 43 to 186 of the family's 1533-position model. The record is from RNAcentral.